GACGAACGCUGGCGGCGUGCUUAACACAUGCAAGUCGAACGGAAAGGCCCUGCUUUUGUGGGGUGCUCGAGUGGCGAACGGGUGAGUAACACGUGAGUAACCUGCCCCUGACUUUGUGAUAACUUCAGGAAACUGCGGCUAUUAUCGGAUAGGAGCUCCUGCUGCAUGGUGGGGGUUGGAAAGAUUCGGCGGUUGGGGAUGGACUCGAGGCUUAUGAGCUUGUUGGUGGGGUAGUGGUUUACCAAGGCUUUGACGGGUAGCCCGCCUGAGAGGGUGACCGGCCACAUUGGGACUGAGGUACGGACCAGACUGCUACGGGAGGCAGCAGUGGAGAAAAUUGCGCAAUAGGCGGAAGCCUGAUGCAGAAACGCCGCGUGCGUAAUAACGGCUUUCGGGUUGUAAACCGCUUUCGACUGUGACGAGGCGUGAGUGACGGUAAUGGGUAAAGAAGCACCGGCUAACUACGUG
This 468-nucleotide ribosomal RNA is filed under the name uncultured bacterium. RNAcentral's name for it is "partial 16S ribosomal RNA". It matches the Rfam family "Bacterial small subunit ribosomal RNA", at positions 28 to 507 of the family's 1533-position model. The record is from RNAcentral.